RNAcentral lists this ribosomal RNA (253 nucleotides) under uncultured bacterium. Its description in RNAcentral is "partial 16S ribosomal RNA". It matches the Rfam family "Bacterial small subunit ribosomal RNA", at positions 524 to 776 of the family's 1533-position model. The record is from RNAcentral.
UACGGGGGGUGCGAGCGUUGUCCGGAAUCACUGGGCGUAAAGGGCGCGUAGGUGGUUUGAUAAGGGUGUGGUGAAAGUCCGGAGCUCAACUCCGGAUCUGCCGUGCCGACUGUCAAACUCGAGGGCUGUAGAGGCAGACGGAAUUCCGGGUGUAGCGGUGGAAUGCGUAGAGAUCCGGAGGAAGACCGGUGGCGAAGGCGGGUCUCUGGACAGUUCCUGACGCUGAGGCACGAAGGCCAGGGGAGCAAACGGG